UUGGGCGAGAGUAGUACUAGGAUGGGUGACCUCCUGGGAAGUCCUCGUGUUGCACCCC
This 58-nucleotide ribosomal RNA is filed under the name Spirodela polyrhiza (greater duckweed). The record is from RNAcentral. Lineage: Eukaryota; Viridiplantae; Streptophyta; Magnoliopsida; Alismatales; Araceae.